UAUUUUGUAGCAGACUUCAGUUCUC
RNAcentral lists this microRNA (25 nucleotides) under Equus caballus (horse). RNAcentral describes it as "eca-miR-9051". The record is from miRBase by way of RNAcentral. Lineage: Eukaryota; Metazoa; Chordata; Mammalia; Perissodactyla; Equidae.